UUUUGGACAAUGGGCGCAAGCCUGAUCCAGCAAUGCCGCGUGCAGGAUGAAGGCCUUCGGGUUGUAAACUGCUUUUGUACCGACCGAAACGGUCCGCCCUAAUACGGUGGGCUAAUGACGGUACCGUAAGAAUAAGCACCGGCUAACUACGUGCCAGCAGCCGCGGUAAUACGUAGGGUGCGAGCGUUAAUCGGAAUUACUGGGCGUAAAGCGUGCGCAGGCGGUUAUAUAAGACAGAUGUGAAAUCCCCGGGCUCAACCUGGGACCUGCAUUUGUGACUGUAUAGCUAGAGUACGGUAGAGGGGGAUGGAAUUCCGCGUGUAGCAGUGAAAUGCGUAGAUAUGCGGAGGAACACCGAUGGCGAAGGCAAUCCCCUGGACCUGUACUGACGCUCAUGCACGAAA
Molecule: ribosomal RNA, 404 nt
Filed under: uncultured bacterium
Lineage: Bacteria
Description: bacterial SSU rRNA
Rfam family: Bacterial small subunit ribosomal RNA
Source: RNAcentral